RNAcentral lists this ribosomal RNA (292 nucleotides) under uncultured bacterium. Its description in RNAcentral is "partial 16S ribosomal RNA". The record is from RNAcentral.
GGACUACUAGGGUUUCUAAUCCUGUUUGAUCCCCACGCUUUCGUGCCUAAGCGUCAAUAUUAGCCUCGUGAGCUGGCUACCCUAUCGGUGUUCUAUGUCAUAUCUAAGCAUUUCACCGCUACUUGACAUAUUCCGCCCACGCCGUCUAAAUUCAAGAUUAGCAGUAUCAACGGCAGUUCCUCAGUUAAGCUGAGAGAUUUCACCGCUGACUUACUAGUCCGCCUGCGCACCCUUUAAACCCAAUAAAUCCGGAUAACGCUUGGAUCCUCCGUAUUACCGCGGCUGCUGGCAC